Long non-coding RNA from Manacus vitellinus (golden-collared manakin), 743 nucleotides. RefSeq lists it as uncharacterized. Lineage: Eukaryota; Metazoa; Chordata; Aves; Passeriformes; Pipridae. The transcript has 3 exons. The record is from RefSeq and is a predicted model, not a curated record.
GAAAAAAAAAAAAAAGGGAGAAAAUGGAAUUAAAUUCCGAACCUACCUGCGAAGUCUUGUUUGUAGUUUUGGCCAGAAAUGGUGACAAGAAAAAGCAUGAAGAAGCCGCGAAGUGGAGGAGAAAAGGUGAAGGGAGAUGCAGCUCCUGGAGAAAUUGUAAAAAGCCUUGCAAAGAGUUGUCGGAAGGACCGUUAUUCCUGCUGGGCAGGUUAGGACUGAUCUCUUUCUGCCACUCCAGGAAACACAAACCUGGGGACGGACUGACGUGUUACGCCUCUUCUAAUGACAUUUUUUUCUUUUUCUUUUCUGUACGAGCGAGAGGAGAGACCCUGCAACACACGCCACCUAUCUUUGUGGGGAGGGAUAAUUGGAGAGCACCAAACAUAUGGAUCAGGGGUGAGAUGGGCUCUUUUCCUGGCUCUGCUCUUCCUUGGAAGUAGCUGAAUGAGCAGAGAGACAGCGUGGACAAGUAACGCGUGGGACUGAACUUCAGGGAGGUUACAAGUUUUUCACCUUUUUCAAUGGGAGAACAGCAUCCACAGGAUCCCAAACCUCUUCUCACACCAGGCAGAGAGCAGUGAGCAGCGAGCAUCCUCCAUCUGCUGUCCCGCACCGUGAGCUGGAGAUGCUUUUUCCUUCUCUUCUGGGAUCAGUGCUGAAGUUCGGCCACAUUUCUUGGCUCAGUUGGUAGUGAUUAAAAUUCACGGCUCACUUUUGUUUAUAGUUGGUUGUUUACUUUGUUG